CAGAUGAUAGAUUGGUAUUUACUUACUACUCUGACAAAAGAUUAAAAGUUUUCAGUGAUAAAGGAUCAAAAGACUUUGAGAUCAAGAUGCCGUGUAAGCCGUUUGAUAUAGUAUACAUCAGUGAAGACAAUUCAUUGGCUGUAUCAUCUCCUGGUUUAGAAAAGCAUUGUAUAACUAUUAUAGACCUGAAGAAGAAACAAAUCAAGAAAAUAAUUUCACUAGAUUUGUACAGUUAUGGCCUUGCACUGAAAGAUAAUCGAUUGAUUUAUUCCGGUAGCAACAAAGGAAUACGAAUGAUCAAUCUAACCGACGAGUCUAUAAGUGACAUAGUCCGAGAACAAAUGCCCGUUGACUGCUACAUUGCAACUUUUAGAGACAACAUAUAUCAUACAAACAACGAUAAACACACUGUUAUUUGUUAACUUUUAAGGUAAAAAACGAUGACAUUUCAUAACGAAAGAGUUCUAAAGAGCUCGUGUAUUGAUGUAGAUAAUGAUGGUAAUGUUUACGUGGUGGGAGCGGAUCGAAUAAUUUGGUAGUUAUCUCCC
Molecule: long non-coding RNA, 548 nt
Filed under: Mytilus galloprovincialis (Mediterranean mussel)
Lineage: Eukaryota; Metazoa; Mollusca; Bivalvia; Mytilida; Mytilidae
Source: RNAcentral